AUACGUAGGUGGCGAGCGUUGUCCGGAAUUACUGGGUGUAAAGGGCGUGUAGGCGGGGGAGCAAGUCAGAUGUGAAAGCCCAAGGCUCAACUUUGGGAUUGCAUCUGAAACUGUUUCUCUUGAGUACUGGAGAGGGAAGCGGAAUUCCUAGUGUAGCGGUGAAAUGCGUAGAGAUUAGGAGGAACACCAGUGGCGAAGGCGGCUUCCUGGACAGAGACUGACGCUGAGGCGCGAAAGCGUGGGGAGCGAACAGGAUUAGAUACCCUGGUAGUCCACGCCGUAAACGAUGGAUACUAGGUGUAGGAGGUAUCGACUCCUUCUGUGCCGGAGUUAACACAAUAAGUAUCCCACCUGGGGAGUACGGCCGCAAGGUUGAA
RNAcentral lists this ribosomal RNA (377 nucleotides) under uncultured bacterium. RNAcentral describes it as "bacterial SSU rRNA". It matches the Rfam family "Bacterial small subunit ribosomal RNA", at positions 523 to 898 of the family's 1533-position model. The record is from RNAcentral.